This 429-nucleotide ribosomal RNA is filed under the name uncultured bacterium. Its description in RNAcentral is "bacterial SSU rRNA". It matches the Rfam family "Bacterial small subunit ribosomal RNA", at positions 355 to 776 of the family's 1533-position model. The record is from RNAcentral.
UGGGGAAUAUUGCGCAAUGGGCGAAAGCCUGACGCAGCGACGCCGCGUGGAGGAUGAAGGUCUUCGGAUUGUAAACUCCUGUCAGAUGGGAAGAAAAGUCUAUGUUUAAUAGACGUAGAAUAUGACGGUACCAUCAGAGGAAGCACCGGCUAACUUCGUGCCAGCAGCCGCGGUAAUACGAAGGGUGCAAGCGUUAUUCGGAAUCACUGGGCGUAAAGGGUGCGUAGAUGGUUUGUUAAGUUCGUUGUUAAAGGCUCUGGCCUAACCGGAGUAUUGCAAUGAAAACUGGCAGACUAGAGGGUGAGAGAGAGAAGUGGAAUUCCCGGAGUAGCGGUAAAAUGCGUGGAUCUCGGGAGGAACACCAAUGGCGAAGGCAGCUUCUUGGCUCAUUCCUGACAUUGAGGCACGAAAGCGUGGGGAGCAAACAGG